UUGGGAACUUGAGGAAGUUGAUACCUCUCCUCUACUGGCAGGUUAUUGUGGUUGUAUAAAUAUGAAUUAUUAGGAGUGGAGACAGUGGAUGAAUUAGCCUGGAGAGGAUUUUGGAAGUCAGAGUAGCUGGCUAUCUCAAGGACAUCCAUUUCCUGAAGGUGGAAUUGCCAGGUCACAGCCUAAACCAAUUCUUGAGCACCAGGUGGGAAGGUGUGGCUAACCCAGUGAGCUCAGGUGCAAGCAAUACACCUGAAUGAUCAGAAGGUAAAGAGCCUGGAUCCACCUCUUCUCAACCUCAUUUAAGGACUAGCAGCUAAAAAAAGCAGUGUUUUUCCAGAUGGAAGUUGUACUUCUCUGAAGUUGUCAGUGGUUGUUGGAAGCAAACACCUCUCUGGGUUCAGUAAGGAAGUAUGUCCGAGAUGUUAUCAUGUCCAGCUCCACAAACCAGUCUUGGAUUUGUCACACUGAGUGACAGAAUAAGGGGCUGCUUGUAUGAUCGAGGAAAUGCAGAUCUCAUCCUCUCUCUGUGUCAGCUUGGAAAAGCAUUUCUCAGGUGCAUUCAAACUGGGAGCAGUGUCCCAUCUGGAACUUCUCAGCAUAGAAUCACACAUGGGAUGGUCCAGGUUGGAAGGGACCUCAAAGAUCAUGAAUGUCCACCCCCCCCCCACCACCACAGGCAGGGCCACCAACCUCUGCAUUUAAUACAAGACCAAAAAAAAGAAAAAGGAACUGUGGCUAAUGGACAUAUUUAGUCAUAAUUUUCUCAGGUUAGAUGUUAGGAAGAAUUUCUUUCUCAGAGUGACUGGGCACAGGCUGCCCAGGGAAAUGAUGGAGUCACCAUCCCUGGAGGUAUUUAAGGAUCAGGUAGAUGUAGUACUGAGGGAUAUGGUUAGUGGGCAAUAUUGGUUGUAGGUGGACAGAUGGGCUGGAUAACCUUGGAGGUCUUUUCAAACCUUAAUGAUCUUUUAUUAAUAAUCUGCUUAUAAGUCUUAUUACCAGUGCUCUUAAAAAUGUAUAUAUACAAUCUAUUAGCAAAAGUCAAAUCAUCACAGGACAGCAUUUUAUAAUAUUUUUCAAAAAUAUUAAAAUUAAAGAGCUUGAGUAUGUGGAACAUUGAACAAAAGUUUCCUGCUCUUUCUUGCUCUGGUUGUUUUUUGUUUUUUUUUUUUCCCCCACUCAAAAUGUGUUUGGAAGGGCAUAUAGAAUUCAGGAUUGGUGUCUGUCUUUUUCUCUGGUCUAUGAAGUGUUGUAGGCAACCUACAGUAAACAGCAUUCCAGCGGCUCACUAAAUUGUAAAAGUUCCAUUUCUGCCAGUGACUGUAAGAAAUCAAUGUGUUUGAGCAUGGCUUAAAAAAGAGAAAAAUAUUAAACUAUUCUUAAUUGC
Lagopus muta (rock ptarmigan) is the source of this 1384-nucleotide long non-coding RNA. RefSeq lists it as uncharacterized. The transcript has 5 exons. NCBI's taxonomy places the organism in Eukaryota, Metazoa, Chordata, Aves, Galliformes, Phasianidae. The record is from RefSeq and is a predicted model, not a curated record.